ACAAAUACUAAUUGUAUUGCUUAAUUAAUUUUUCAGGUGUUCUGUUGUAGAUUGGUCACUGAUAAAAAAUAGUAUACAUUUUUCUGAAUAAUAGUUUUUUUUAUUUUAACAUCUCAAGACCGCAAUUGGAUUUCAUCUAUUGCGCGAAUUAUGACUGAAUUUUUUGAAACAAAAGAAUGAAUGAAUUUUGUUAGCUGUGGCUUUAUUAUUCUUCAUUGAUUGGUUCAAAAUGUUCUGUAUUAUCAAAAUAAUUUUAUUCCGUGAACAAUAAUGUAUUUUUUUUGGUUGUUUGCGGAAUUUCAGUUUUAAUCAUUAUGUAUGUUUUUUUUUUUAUUAUUAUUAAUAAUAUUUAAAUAAAUAUAUAUAUCCAAAGUCUUUUAAAUAAUUAAUUUAAUUACUGUCAUUUAUUGUAAUUUUAAAAAUAGAUCAUUUUUAAAAACCUACAUAAUGAUUCAACUGAUGUGCGCGGCGCUUGCAUAUUUUUAUUUUCGCGCGGAAAGAAAUUAAAUGUUUACUUUAAAAAAAUUAAGUUAUGAAAUUUCAUAUAAAUUUAAUUCAUAAUUUUAAAUUUUUUACCUUCCAAUAUUUAAACGAUACAUUUUUUUAAUUUAAGCAUUUGAUUUUUUUCAUUGUAUUCUGUGAAUUUAGAUAAGCACUAGUUUGCAAUAUUUAAUCUGUAUUUGUUUCAUUUAUAAUUUCUACGCAAUUAAUUAAUUUUGCAUCAUGGCCGGUUUAUGAUGUAAUCACAUAUAGUUAAAUAAAAAAUUUAAAAUUUCUUACAUUAGAGAUAAACAACAGAUUAAGUAUUGAAAUCUAUGUGUUUUUUGUGAUGAAUAUCCAAUAGCUGUCUUUUAAUUUUUCUAGAGUAAAUUUUACUCUGGCGUUUAACCUAACUAAAUACAUUUCUAUUUACAUUUUAUCUAUUGUAAAGCAAUACAAAUUAUUUUUAUUUAUUUUUGUGUAUAUUCCCUUUAUAAUCAAUUUAAUAAUUAUUGAUAAUUUUCCAUUUUCUUAAGAUCAUAAUUAAGUAUUUAUUAAAAAUAAUCAAAAAUCUACAAUAAUCUUAGUAAUCUGAUCAUGCUGCAUUCAAUAUAUUCAGUAAGCUAUUUUGCUUAUUUUUAUUUGUUUUUCAUUACUUCAUAAAAAAUUGAUCAAAUUAUUUCACAAUUUCAGUAUAAUGGCCUUAAUAUAUUUUUGUAUUUUAAUUUUAAUUUAUGCGUGUAUGUUAUAUAAUAUUGUAAUGUAUACAAUUAUUAAAUAGCCAUUUAAUAAUAUGUAACCCAUAAUGAAUACAUUAGAUAAGAAAAUAAAUUAUUAAAUUAUUAGGAAAAUAAUUUGAUAAUAAACAAAUAUUAAAGAUAUGUGUUAUUACUUAAAGAUAUAAUACAUGUAAUUAUUGAAAUAUUAAGUAUGUUAUAUUUUUCAUUUUUUUUGGUAAUAAUUUCAAGUAUUCAACCAAUUUUAUGUAUAUUAUAUUACUGAGAUUAUUGUAGUUAUUUUUUAUACAAGGAACAUUUCUGAACACACAGCAUCUAUAUAUUAUUAGUAUUUUUAGUCUUUACAAUAGAUAGACAUAUCAAUAACUUUGAUUCAUCUAGUUGAUGAGAUUUCGUUAAAAGUUUUCAUUGCGCCAAUCUACAACAAAAAGUUAUCAAUAUACCCUUCAUUGUUUUUCAUCUUUCAUUUACUCUCCUGCAAUUUCUAUUAAUUUUUAUCCAAACUGUUCUCCUGGUUUCAAAAAGUGAUGGACAACCCUGCCUUCCCUAUUAUUGAUGGUACCAUCCAUCAAUUUAUCUAGGUCCAUGAUACGAAAAUGUUGUGUAUUUAGUUGAUGAGGAUGUACGGCGAGUGUGUUCCUAUUUCCUGAAUAGCUACCACCUCAUACAUUAAUAGGUACAAAGUAAUUCACACCUCUUAAAAUCAAAUUUUGUAAACGGGAAAUUACACCAAAAGUACUAAAUUUAUUGGUAACCACUCGCCUCACACUCUCGUAACAAUGUUCAUGUCAACGGUGUCAAUGCCGGUUUUACAAAAAGGGCCAAAAAUUUAUUUUAUUUUUGUUCUAAUAUCAUAAUUCUCCAUUACUUCUUUGAGAAAAUUAUGAUAUUUAAAAAUGUUUUGAUGAGUAUACUAUUAGUGUACUUAAUAAUAAGUUGUCAAUAGUCAUGAUUUUCUCCAAUUGAAGUAGGCAAAUGUAUUAGAUGUUAGGAUUUUUUUUUUCUUAACAAGUGCAUUUUUUGUUUUUGUUUAUAGGAAUGUGUCAAGGAAUGCGAAGUUAAUGACGAAGCAUGCGCGCUAGUGUACAUUUUCUCUCCUAACACUUCUAUUGUGUUAAAAUAUAAAAUAUAAAGUAUGGCUUAAGCGCGUUUAGGUCCCUUUAUAAGCAUAUUACGAUUUCAAAAA
Aphis gossypii (cotton aphid) is the source of this 2403-nucleotide long non-coding RNA. RefSeq lists it as uncharacterized. The transcript has 2 exons. The record is from RefSeq and is a predicted model, not a curated record. NCBI's taxonomy places the organism in Eukaryota, Metazoa, Arthropoda, Insecta, Hemiptera, Aphididae.